Molecule: ribosomal RNA, 331 nt
Filed under: uncultured eukaryote
Lineage: Eukaryota
Description: partial 18S ribosomal RNA
Rfam family: Eukaryotic small subunit ribosomal RNA
Source: RNAcentral
CCCUUAGAUGUUCUGGGCCGCACGCGCGCUACACUGUUCGACGCAGCGAGUCUUAACCUUGACCGAAAGGUUUGGGUAAUCUUCAGCAAAGUCGAACGUGAUGGGGAUCGAUCAUUGCAAUUAUUGAUCGUGAACGAGGAAUUCCUAGUAAGUGCAAGUCAUCAGCUUGCUCCGAUUACGUCCCUGCCCUUUGUACACACCGCCCGUCGCUACUACCGAUUGAAUGGUUUAGUGAGAUCUCUGGAUUGACGCUGGCUAGGGGGCGACCCUUGGCCAGACUGUUGAGAAACUGCUCAAACUUGAUCAUUUAGAGGAAGUAAAAGUCGUAACA